Molecule: small RNA, 128 nt
Filed under: Marmota monax (woodchuck)
Lineage: Eukaryota; Metazoa; Chordata; Mammalia; Rodentia; Sciuridae
Source: RNAcentral
GCCGGGUGCGGUGGCGCACACCUGUAAUCCCAGCGGCUCGGGAGGUUGAGACAGGAGGAUUGCAAGUUCAAAGCUAGUGAGUUCAGCGACGGCGAGGUGCUGAGCAACUCAGUGAGACCCUGUCUCUA